Varroa destructor (honeybee mite) is the source of this 1873-nucleotide long non-coding RNA. The record is from RefSeq and is a predicted model, not a curated record. Lineage: Eukaryota; Metazoa; Arthropoda; Arachnida; Mesostigmata; Varroidae.
AGUUGAUGGCAAUACAUGCCUUGAAGUCUCAUAUGAUGCGUUCAUCACUAUUUAUAUUGUAAGGAACAGUAGCAAACUACCGAGACAUAUAUGAGGAUAGGUUCAAAUACAGUGUAUGGAUCAUAGGCUAAUGUGUGGCAUAUUUUAUGCGGCAAAAAUGAAAGACAAUUUCACGACAAAAAAGAUAUAUAUAUAUAUAUUAUCUGGGUGUUUCUAUUUGACCGAAGUUUUCGUGUACAUUAUUUCGUGCGUUAUCUGUUAAUAGAUUGAUGAUAAAAGAGUUAAACAACAACUUGCAAUAUAUGUGAGGGUGAUAUCCACGUGAAGAAUACACAUGUUUAGCUAAGCCUCGUAGGGAAAGCUCUACUUCAAAAAGACAAGGUCCAGGAGGAGAUUAUAACGGCUACAAAAAACGCAAUAUCGGUGAAGGAAGGUGCUACCGCGAUCAUCAAGUCUGAAUCUGAUCUCAGUCAAGCUGUUUCGAACUGUUUAAGGUCGUGCAAGUAACGACUACCGAAGCAGGCUUAUUCUACGGAAACCUGUUUUUAACAAACAUGUUCAAGUUAUCCUGCGGUUGCUCCUGAUUGGAGCAAGCGAUUACAGGUUCUGCACGAAUGUCUCGGGACCAAGCUACGGCGAAGCUGUUUGUGCUACUACAUACAUUGUUCCGGGCAUGGGACGCCAACAAGAUGAACGACUUGCUCCUCAUCUUUGCCAUCAUAUUUAUAACUUUUGACGCUUCAAAAUGCCGCAACUUAAAAACGUCGCUCCGCUUCUUUGGCAGCUCUGAAACUCUACGAAGAACUUAAUUUAGUCCUAAACUGAUCACCGACCCUAUUUACUCCCAUUCGCUGCUACUGCUAUCGGAACGGACUAUUGCGAUACAAAAAUGUGUGCUUCGCUUGGCAUUUCCCUUACGUAACAACCUACCAGUUAGGGCAAGGACUUAACGGUCAGUAAACAGGUUGCCAGUUCAAACAUCCUUUGCUUUAGACCGCGUCACUAACGUUGCCCUUGCUGUCAUUUUAUUCGCCUUUAUGUAUCGCAAGUCGCUGGCGGUUUUCAUUGAAAAUAUCGGUAUAUGCGCCGUUACUCAUACACACUAUGGUCGUAUUUGCCGUCAGAGCUGCGUCGAGGGCUUUUGUGGAUCAACGACUGACGGUGCGAUUAUUGCCGCCCGCAUGUGUAACUAUUGCAGCAUUGCGACCAUCAUCAAUAGAAAAAAAAGGUACAAUGCCUCUUUCCUCGUACAGCUUUCAUCGUUAUUGUGCGCCGUUGAGAGGGACGAUAUCGUGCACUACUAUGGGCGGUUUAUGAACGGUCGAUGAUCAGCCGGUCGACUGAGGCAACGACAUCCGUAGAAAGAGUUGCAGGAAAGUCAUAUGUUUAAAACGGAAUGAUCGCUGUGAAAUAUUGAUUUGACUUUCCGGAGCCUUCAUAUCAUAUUGGCCGUGGAGAAACCUGAAGGUAUUCCAAAAUUUCGAUCCACAAAAACGGUGUGAUCGAAGCAGUGAAAAUUUGUCUUCUCCCUGAUGCUGCUUUCUCUGCUCUUAUAUAAACUGCCGGUGCACCCGUCUAUCGCUCGUGGGUUGGCAUCUAAUAACAGCAGCAGCGGCAACGAAACGCGCAGUGAAGGACGAGGUUGCAUGCCAUCGAGCUAUGGCAAUCAUUGUGACCCUUGAUUUGUCGUGGACCAUCGUGGCUAAAGAAGGUGUAGCGGUAGUCCACCCUAUACAUUGUCCUAAAUGGUGGGAAUCGGACCAACCAUCGAAAAUUGGAUUGCGGACCAAAGUAGGAAGACAGCAACAGACGACGGCUACUUCGGAAGACGCGUUUGUACCAAGGGUGGUGUGAACGAUUCACCGCCAGAGCU